RNAcentral lists this ribosomal RNA (504 nucleotides) under uncultured bacterium. RNAcentral describes it as "partial 16S ribosomal RNA". The record is from RNAcentral.
GUAGUUAGCCGGGGCUUUCUAAUGGGGUACCGUCAUUUUUUCGUCCCCCACAACAGAGGUUUACAAUCCGAAAACCUUCUUCCCUCACGCGGCGUUGCUGGGUCAGGCUUGCGCCCAUUGCCCAAUAUUCCCCACUGCUGCCUCCCGUAGGAGUCUGGACCGUGUCUCAGUUCCAGUGUGGCCGAUCAGCCUCUCAGCUCGGCUACCCAUCGCAGGCUUGGUGGGCUGUUAUCUCACCAACUACCUAAUGGGACGCGAACCCCUCCUUCAGCGGAUUGCUCCUUUGACCUCAUCCCGAUGCCGGGUCGUGGUCUUAUGCGGUAUUAGCACUUGUUUCCAGGUGUUAUCCCCCUCUGAAGGUCAGGUUGUUCACGCGUUACUCACCCGUUCGCCACUAAAAUUUAUCUUCCAUCCGAAAACUUCCGAUAAAUCUCCGUUCGACUUGCAUGUGUUAGGCACGCCACCAGCGUUCGUCCUGACGACCAUAACUACUAAACUCUACGA